Molecule: ribosomal RNA, 465 nt
Filed under: uncultured bacterium
Lineage: Bacteria
Description: partial 16S ribosomal RNA
Rfam family: Bacterial small subunit ribosomal RNA
Source: RNAcentral
CCUACGGGAGGCAGCAGUGGGGAAUCUUCCACAAUGGGCGAAAGCCUGACGCAGCGACGCCGCGUGAGGGAUGAAGGGCUUCGGAUCGUAAACCUCUGUCAGCAGGGAAGAACGGUCAUUGUACUAAUCGUCCGUGCAUUGACGGUACCUGCAAAGGAAGCACCGGCUAACUCCGUGCCAGCAGCCGCGGUAAUACGGAGGGUGCGAGCGUUAAUCGGAAUUAUUGGGCGUAAAGCGCUCGUAGGCGGUAUGUCAAGUCAAGGGUGAAAGCCCCGCGCUUAACGUGGGAACUGCAUUGGAAACCGGGAAACUUGAGUGGAGGAGAGGAUAGUGGAACUCCAGGUGGAGGAGUGGAAUGCGUAGAUAGAUGGAGGAACACCAGUGGCGAAGGCGACUAUCUGGCAUAUAACUGACGCUGAGGAGCGAAAGCGUGGGUAGCAAACAGGAUUAGAUACCCCGGUAGUC